This is a non-coding RNA of Vicia faba (fava bean), 225 nucleotides long. NCBI's taxonomy places the organism in Eukaryota, Viridiplantae, Streptophyta, Magnoliopsida, Fabales, Fabaceae. The record is from the annotation of a GenBank genome assembly.
AUGGGAAAGUGGGUGGAGAUUAUCGACCAAGGUGCGAGGAUUGUUGCGAGAUCCUAUUCCAACUGUCCUCAGACAGGUCGGAAGUUUUAUCAUCCUCCGCCUCAUUCUGAUAUCGGCGAUAAUCACUCUCAUGGAGGAGGAGCCGCCGUGAACGGCGGCGGCGCUGGGAAAUCUGGGUUUGGUUACGGCGGAAGUAGCUUUGAUGUUAUUCUUUAUUCUGUUUGA